UACGAAGGGGGCUAGCGUUGCUCGGAAUUACUGGGCGUAAAGAGUGUGUAGGCGGUGCUCCAAGUCUGGUGUGAAAUCUCCCGGCUUAACUGGGAGGGUGCAUUAGAAACUGGAAUGCUAGAGGAUGGGAGAGGUAAGCGGAAUUCCUGAUGUAGCGGUGAAAUGCGUAGAUAUCAGGAGGAACACCUGUGGUGUAGACAGCUUACUGGACCAUUUCUGACGCUGAGACACGAAAGCGUGGGUAGCAAACAGG
This 253-nucleotide ribosomal RNA is filed under the name uncultured bacterium. RNAcentral's name for it is "partial 16S ribosomal RNA". It matches the Rfam family "Bacterial small subunit ribosomal RNA", at positions 524 to 776 of the family's 1533-position model. The record is from RNAcentral.